Ribosomal RNA from Cavia porcellus (domestic guinea pig), 113 nucleotides. Lineage: Eukaryota; Metazoa; Chordata; Mammalia; Rodentia; Caviidae. The record is from Ensembl.
GUCUAUGGCCUUACCAUCCUGAACAUGCCCUAUGUUGUCUGAUCUCAGAAGGUAAGCAGGGGUAGGUCUGGUAAGUACUGGAGACUGUGUGGGAAUACCAGGUGCCUCAGACU